GAUGAACGCUAGCUACAGGCUUAACACAUGCAAGUCGAGGGGAAACGAUAUUGGAAGCUUGCUUCCGAUAGGCGUCGACCGGCGCACGGGUGAGUAACGCGUAUCCAACCUGCCCACCACUUGGGGAUAACCUUGCGAAAGUAAGACUAAUACCCAAUGACGUCUCUAGAAGACAUCUGAAGGAGGUUAAAGAUUUAUCGGUGAUGGAUGGGGUUGCGGCUGAUUAGCUUGUUGGCGGGGUAACGGCCAACCAAGGCGACGACCAGUAGGGGUUCUGAGAGGAAGGGCCGCCACAUUGGAACUGAGACACGGUCCAAACUCCUACGGGAGGCAGCAGUGAGGAAUAUUAGUCAAUGGGCGAGAGCCUGAACCAGCCAAGUAGCGUGCAGGAUGACGGCCCUAUGGGUUGUAAACUGCUUUUAUAAGGGAAUAAAGUGAGUCUCGUGAGACUUUUUGCAUGUACCUUAUGAAUAAGGACCGGCUAAUUCCGUGCCAGCAGCCGCCGCCG
RNAcentral lists this ribosomal RNA (508 nucleotides) under uncultured bacterium. Its description in RNAcentral is "partial 16S ribosomal RNA". It matches the Rfam family "Bacterial small subunit ribosomal RNA", at positions 28 to 523 of the family's 1533-position model. The record is from RNAcentral.